Molecule: ribosomal RNA, 428 nt
Filed under: uncultured bacterium
Lineage: Bacteria
Description: bacterial SSU rRNA
Rfam family: Bacterial small subunit ribosomal RNA
Source: RNAcentral
GGGCCCGCACAAGCAGUGGAGCAUGUGGUUUAAUUCGAUGCAACGCGAAGAACCUUACCAGGCCUUGACAUCCUGCGAACGCUUUAGAGACAAAGUGAUGCCUUCGGGAGCGCAGAGACAGGUGCUGCAUGGCUGUCGUCAGCUCGUGUUGUGAAAUGUUGGGUUAAGUCCCGUAACGAGCGCAACCCUUGUCCUUACUUGCCAGCACUUCGGGUGGGAACUUUAAGGAGACUGCCGGUGACAAACCGGAGGAAGGUGGGGACGACGUCAAGUCAUCAUGGCCCUUACGACCAGGGCUACACACGUGCUACAAUGGGACGCACAGAGGGUUGCGAAGCGGUGACGUGAAGCGAAUCCCACAAAACGUCUCGUAGUCCGGAUCGGAGUCUGCAACUCGACUCCGUGAAGUCGGAAUCGCUAGUAAUCGC